GCCGAAAUAGCUCAGUUGGGAGAGCGUUAGACUGAAGAUCUAAAGAUAACGGGUUUCGGCAGAUCAGAUGAAAUUCUCUUUAUGAGUUUAAUCUUUUAUCCCCUUGUCUGCAUGCUUUUUUAAAUAUGCAGAGAAAUUUUUAAUUUCGGAUUCUGUUCUCAUAUCUAUCCUUCUAGUGACGAAAUACCUCAGUAGGGAGAGCGUUAGACUAAAGAUCUAAAUGUCCCUGGUUCGAUCCCGGGUAUCGGCA
Araneus ventricosus is the source of this 250-nucleotide non-coding RNA. NCBI's taxonomy places the organism in Eukaryota, Metazoa, Arthropoda, Arachnida, Araneae, Araneidae. The record is from the annotation of a GenBank genome assembly.